Molecule: small nuclear RNA, 149 nt
Organism: Carassius auratus (goldfish)
Lineage: Eukaryota; Metazoa; Chordata; Actinopteri; Cypriniformes; Cyprinidae
Gene: U4
Rfam family: U4 spliceosomal RNA
About the family: U4 small nuclear RNA (U4 snRNA) is a component of the major U2-dependent spliceosome. The structure of U4 snRNA from yeast and human has been reported.
Source: Ensembl
AUUCUUUCGCAGAGGCAAUAUUUUAGCCUAUGAGGCUCAUCCGAGGCGUGAUCAUUGCUGGUUGAAAACUUUACCCAAUACCCCCCCAGGAUGUCUUGAAACACAAUCAGCUUAGGCAAUUUUUGGAAGCUCAUUGUGUUGUUGAUGAA